This 2635-nucleotide long non-coding RNA is filed under the name Cricetulus griseus (Chinese hamster). RNAcentral's name for it is "lncRNA (ENSCGRG00015036145.1)". Lineage: Eukaryota; Metazoa; Chordata; Mammalia; Rodentia; Cricetidae. The record is from RNAcentral.
GAGACACAUGGGGACUGACGCUGUCAGAAGACCCCAGGCAAGCAUGCAUGAGAUAGCCACCUUCAAAGCAAGUAUGCAACUAUGGUCAUGUUCCCAUUGUGGGAGCUUCCGGUAGCCACCUGAGAUGGCAUCCAAAGAGGAGUGCUUCAGGAGCUGUAACAGAAGUGGGGAAAUCUACAGAUUUGGUGCUCUAGGAAGGGAACAGAGAGAGGAUUCCCCCGAGGACUGCAAACUAAAUAACAUAUGCAUGCUGUGGCUGCCGAUAAUAGAGACUCGGGCUGCAAGAGGCGGACUGGCCAGUUUAGAGAUACAGUGCACAGUGUAUUCAGUGUAGGAAAGAGGGAGAGAAAAACGAAUGUGGCUAACACCCCGUGCGGAGGCUGAGGUGUGGUAUAUGCACCUGGACCCAGGAUGAGGGCAUCAGGGGAGAGAAGGUGGAACAUCCAUCAAUAUCCUUAAACUGGAGACUGACAAGCUGAAGACGGACAUGUAAGAGACGGAGAAAUAACCUCUUCAAUCUCUCUGUGUUUAUUUGAGACUAAACGGCGGCAGGACCAGGUGGGACAGAAAUUUCCAUCUGCAGAGAAGCACGCAACUUGACACAGACACAGGACACACAACUGACACUGGAUUCUCAUGGACAAAUCGCUCAUUCCAUACAAUGAAACUUCCACAGUUGGCUCUUUCAAUGGGAUGACCCCAAGGUCCUCAGACAAAGGAAAAGUAGUUUGGGAAUAAGUUCUUAGCAGCUCAAUGGUUAAGCAAGGCUGUGAUGUCAGCACCUGCUCCACCAAUCAGUACCCAGCAGGGAACUUCCUGCAGCCAUAUGUUGGACCCACUCCUGUUUUCCUGGAGUUUGGUAUUUAAAUGGCCCGGGCCUUUUGUGUCCUUAGAUCAACACUCAGGUACUGCUCAGCUGUUCUGAGGUUCUGGAGAGUGAUGAAGAGAAUCCAGUUGGUAGCAUUUUGUGGAGUUGUGUGAACGAGUGGCUGGAAAUGGUUCGGAUGAUGUUCUUAUAUGAAUCCAGUUCUUUUUGGAGAAAUAUGUAGAAGAAACCCAAUCUCUGACAUGGCAGAAUAGCACAAACAGCCAGGAUCGGAGGUACUGAUUUGAGAAUUGAAACUCUUCCCAGAGACUAGGGUCAUGGGGCAGAAUCCACAUCAUUACUGACAUCUAUAAGUAAGGAACUUGUCAGUUCAGACAGCGUCUGUAAAAUUAGUUCUUGUAAGAAAGUAAGAGGAGAAUGUCCAACAAUUUUGCUGACAAUAAUGAAAUGAUGGCUGUGCCAUGCUGUUUGUCAUUGUGAGAACCACAUUUAAGGGGGCUGGAGAGAUGGCUCAGAGGCUAAGAGCAUUGGCUGCUUUUCCAGAGGUCCUGAUUCAAGUCCCAGCAACCACACAGGUGAGGCUCAUAACCAUGGGAUCUCAUGCCCUCUUCGGGCAUACAGGCACACAUGUGGAUAGAGCACUCAUACAUAUAAAUAAAAUUUUAAAAACGGCAUUUAAAAUGGCAUGUUAAUAGCUAUGCCUUACGCUUAUAUUACACUUACAGCAGCAGAGAUCAGUUUGAUGGAUUCUCACACCAGAAUGACUUAGAUUCAAAUUUGGCGUCAACUCAGCAGCAAUACACAUUGAGUGAGUCUGACAUUGCUGAGCCUCGAUUUCCUCAUUGGUAGAAAGAUGGUAACACCUGCCAUAAAAUAUCGUUUUAUGCAUUAAAGGGGCUAUUUGUAAUACCCCCAGUUUCUAUUUUCUAACACAAUGGGCAGUUGCAUAAAACUAUUUUUUUCCUCUAUUUGGUGAAAGUGGAUGAGUUCAAACAACUUUGGGGAACUAAAUUUGAAUGAGUCAAUAGGUAAAACACUAUUCUAAAUGUUUUGAUUCCGUUGGCCAGAAGGAAUGGCAGCCCUGGAAGAAAGAAAGACUCCAGCAGCUAGUGGUAAAUUCUGAACUGUUUGCUCCUCCUCGUCCCAUGGCAGGCCUCAGGGUAAUCACACUAUUAGGGAGGCUUUGCAUUCCCUAUUGGCCAGUGCCUGGAGCUGGUAUGAAACAUUUGCUGAAAGAAACGAAUGAAUAAAUGAUCCCCAACUCUAGGUGGAUCGUCUCUCUCUCUCAGCCUUUCAUCCAGGUGACCUAAUCUUUACGCUCAGCUCUUUGAAAAAUCCGUUUCUUAUAUUUCUCCUGCGUUUCUCUAAUACCUUACAACAAAAGGGUAACAGAAAGCUCUCAUUUGGACUGGCAAUGAGCAGCUCCCUCGUUUUAUUUUCUGUAGGUGUUCCCAGAGCAGAGCGGGGGAUCUCUGAACAAGCUUCCUGGUUCUGCAGAGAGUCUGGUCUGCUCCUUAUUCCUCAUGGGGUCCUUAGGGACAGACACCCUGCCUUCUCCUCUGGUCAGCUCAGUGGGCACUGGUGAAAUCUGAUGCAAACCAACCAGUUGGGCCUGUUUUCUAAGUUAACUCUAAUGGUUAGGGUGGGAGUGACAACUUCCUCUAUGUCAUUUCCUAUUUUAUACUGUCAGAUUUUUUUUAAUCAUGGGAAAUUGGUAUUAGUGUGUUCUAUGGCCUCAUGUGUAUGGUUGUCUCACAAUGUUGUUUGAGAGACAAAGAGACAAAAAUACCCAUAAAUAAAGUAAUGGAA